GCGCGAAAACUUUACAAUGCUGGAAACAGCGAUAAGGGAACCCCGAGUGCCAGGUUACAAAUCUGGCUGUCGAGAUGCCUAAAAAGCAUUUCAUAGCAAGGGCCGGGCAAGACCGGUGCCAGCCGCCGCGGUAACACCGGCGGCUCGAGUGGUAACCGUUAUUAUUGGGUCUAAAGGGUCUGUAGCCGGCCGGAUAAUUCUCUUGAGAAACCUGGCAGCUUAACUGUCAGGCUUUCAGGAGAUACUGUCUGGCUCGAGGCCGGGAGAGGUGAGGGGUACUUCAUGGGUAGGAGUGAAAUCUUGUAAUCCUUGAAGGACCACCAGUGGCGAAGGCGUCUCACCAGAACGGACCUGACGGCAAGGAACGAAAGCUAGGGGCACGAACC
Molecule: ribosomal RNA, 386 nt
Filed under: uncultured prokaryote
Description: bacterial SSU rRNA
Rfam family: Archaeal small subunit ribosomal RNA
Source: RNAcentral